RNAcentral lists this long non-coding RNA (663 nucleotides) under Bos taurus (domestic cattle). RNAcentral describes it as "long non-coding RNA NONBTAT017053". The record is from RNAcentral. Lineage: Eukaryota; Metazoa; Chordata; Mammalia; Artiodactyla; Bovidae.
CAGAGUACAAACUGUGUUAUUCCAAAAAAAAGAGAAAAACUCUUUAUCUAACCAAUGUUUACAGAAAUUUGGAAUAUUUACAUACCUUAUAACACUGUAGAAAUCUUUGGUGGUGACAUAUGGAUUAAGUUCCCUGAAAACACUUUAAUAAUUUUAUUCCAUCAAUCUGUAUAGUCAAGUAUUUAAAACUGGUAAUGCUGGCAACAUCAUUUUCUAUCCAAAUCCACAUACAUAUAGUGAAGUGUGUGGAGGGAAUCUUAUGCAGGGAUUAUGUGGGUUUAUAUAAUUACUUAGCAAUAAGGCUUAUUUCUGGCUCAUUUUUACACCAGAAAAAAAAAAUAUAGUAAACUAAAGAAAAAAAAAGUACAAGUUUAUUAUACAAAAUUCAAAUGAAAGCAUGCUAAAACACACAGAAGAGAAAAGAAGCAAAAUAUAAGAAAUGAAAGGACAGAAAGGAAAUGACAGAACAGUGAAACGACAUUGACUGUAUGUAAGGUUAUAACAAACGUAUGAGAGGAAGCCUUGAGAUAUGAUUAAAUAGAAGGAUUUGCAUCAUCUCUUUGAAACUAGUGUUGCUCUUGGUUAAACGUUUUGACUCUAGAAGUGUAGAGGGAUAAAUAAUUCCUCCAAUUUAGGACAGUAUUUGUGAGUUUACGAUAAUUA